Schistosoma curassoni is the source of this 45-nucleotide non-coding RNA. The record is from Rfam. Lineage: Eukaryota; Metazoa; Platyhelminthes; Trematoda; Strigeidida; Schistosomatidae.
AUCCAGCUGACGAGUGCCAAAUAGAACGAAACGUGCCUCCUGGAU